RNAcentral lists this ribosomal RNA (406 nucleotides) under uncultured bacterium. RNAcentral's name for it is "bacterial SSU rRNA". It matches the Rfam family "Bacterial small subunit ribosomal RNA", at positions 30 to 429 of the family's 1533-position model. The record is from RNAcentral.
AGUGAACGCUGGCGGCAGGCCUAAUACAUGCAAGUCGAACGGCAGCACAGCAGAGCUUGCUCUGUGGGUGGCGAGUGGCGGACGGGUGAGGAAUACGUGGGAAUCUGCCCAGUCGUGGGGGAUAACGUAGGGAAACUUACGCUAAUACCGCAUGCGCCCUUCGGGGGAAAGCCGGGGGACCUUCGGGCCUGGCGCGAUUGGAUGAGCCCACGUCGGAUUAGCUAGUUGGCGGGUAAAGGCCCACCAAGGCGACGAUCCGUAGCUGGUCUGAGAGGAUGAUCAGCCACACUGGAACUGAGACACGGUCCAGACUCCUACGGGAGGCAGCAGUAGGGAAUAUUGGACAAUGGGGCGCAAGCCUGAUCCAGCCAUGCCGCGUGAGUGAAGAAGGCCCUCGGGUUGUAAA